RNAcentral lists this transfer RNA (76 nucleotides) under Alphaproteobacteria bacterium. RNAcentral's name for it is "tRNA-Ala". It matches the Rfam family "tRNA". Rfam says of the family: Transfer RNA (tRNA) molecules are approximately 80 nucleotides in length. Lineage: Bacteria; Pseudomonadati; Pseudomonadota; Alphaproteobacteria. The record is from RNAcentral.
GGGGCUAUAGCUCAGCUGGGAGAGCGCCACAAUGGCAUUGUGGAGGUCAGCGGUUCGAUCCCGCUUAGCUCCACCA